CUAACUGGAGGACCGAACCGACUAAUGUUGAAAAAUUAGCGGAUGACUUGUGGCUGGGGGUGAAAGGCCAAUCAAACCGGGAGAUAGCUGGUUCUCCCCGAAAGCUAUUUAGGUAGCGCCUCGUGAACUCAUCUCCGGGGGUAGAGCACUGUUUCGGCUAGGGGGUCAUCCCGACUUACCAACCCGAUGCAAACUGCGAAUACCGGAGAAUGUUAUCACGGGAGACACACGGCGGGUGCUAACGUUCGUCGUGAA
RNAcentral lists this ribosomal RNA (255 nucleotides) under Morganella morganii. Its description in RNAcentral is "partial 23S ribosomal RNA". It matches the Rfam family "Bacterial large subunit ribosomal RNA", at positions 762 to 1014 of the family's 2925-position model. Lineage: Bacteria; Pseudomonadati; Pseudomonadota; Gammaproteobacteria; Enterobacterales; Morganellaceae. The record is from RNAcentral.